Molecule: long non-coding RNA, 1649 nt
Organism: Capra hircus (goat)
Lineage: Eukaryota; Metazoa; Chordata; Mammalia; Artiodactyla; Bovidae
Exons: 3
Source: RefSeq, a predicted model, not a curated record
CUGCUCUUCCCGCUCCUGGUCGGAAGCUCUAAUACAAAAGCCCUUUCACAGAGUCGGAAGUUGGAGAGCGCGGAGCCGAGUUCCCCGAGCGGCGCCUAAGCUUCCUUCUAGAGAUUUGGACGGGGAUGACCUGACCCCUCCCCCAUACUGGAUAAUGGCGGACCUGCCUCCCAGUGCUCCACCAGGACUGGAGGCCGCCUUAAUGCCCAAUCCAGGGCCAGGUGAAGUCCUGCAGCAGCCACUGCUCCUCUGCCAGCUCUCCCCGAGGUCGUAGAGCCGCCAUCUCGGCAGGUUCCGAACCCGGUGACAGAAGCCUCUGGCCAACACUUCCAGGAUCCUGCUCCAGCUGAACUGCCCAAGCUAUACCCGCCUCUCCCUUAAAGUUGCAGGUAUUGUCCCUUGGAUCCAUCAUACGAGGGUGAAGAGAACAUACUACACAGACCCAAAAAAUGCUGAGUGGACUGCACAGAGGGACCUCGCUGAUCCUUGAGAGACUAAGACCAUCUUUAAGAAGAAGGAAAUGAGAUCCUGGACGAGCCCCUUUAGGAUGAAGCCGCACAAUCAACUCCUGCUGCUUGGCCUCAUCAACAUGAUUUUGAAUUUAACUUCUGUUUCAACUCAGGACAAUGUUUUCAUCUAAUGGGCACAUCCUAUGCAGACUUCCACAACACUUCGAACUGCUGGGUAUGUAGGGCUAUGCCUUUGUCAGUGAUGGAUGGACUUCCUUGGUGGGUGUCACCGUUCUGCCAAGGAGAUUUUAAACCACUCUGCUCUUUUCUGGGAUGACAAAAAGAGACUUUCCUCUCUCUUGUUAAUCAUAACCUCUCCUUGCUCUCUUGGUGUAAGACCUACAGUCAAUAGACUCGGGUCAUGGGGUUACAUUUGAUAUAAAUGCCAGUGUAACAAAAGCCUAACCUACAACAACUGGUAAAUCUACCUUAUUUAUAUGCUAGGUGGACAAGAUCCGUGUUUCAGUGGUAUGAGUAUAUUGCUGCCUUAUUUUUACCCUCUAUAGGGACAACAGAUAUCAUGAUUAAAGUAGAGGCCUUGACUAAUUUCACAAAACAGGUCCUCCUAGAUAGAACAAAAGCCAUCCAAGCCUUAAAUGAAGAGCAACUCCAAAUGAGAAAAGCUGUAAUUCAUAAUAGAAUGGCUUUGGACAUACUCACAGCUGCUCAAGGAGGGACCUGUGCUAUAAUUACAGUUGAAUGUUGUGAAUACGUUCCUGACUUAUCUGGCAAUGUAUCAACUGCUUUGGAUGACAUGAAAAACCAGAUAAAAACAAUGUCAAAUGAAAACAUUCCUUUCUGGACUUCCGUCCUAUCUUGGGUGAAGGGUGAUUGGUGGAAAACUAUAUUUUACCACUGUUAUAGUUGCCUUGAUAGUUCUGCUUUGUGGACCCUGAAUUUUACAAUGUAUUAUGAACUUUGUAACCUUUUGUUGAUGUCAUCCUCCCAAAUUGGUGGUCAGAGAGUCAGGGUGCAAUAUAUCCCUAUGAAUGAUGCUCAUAAUAUGAGUUAAGAGCAUCAAGAGGGGGGAAUGAAGAAGGAAUUCAUAGGGCCUGGACUCCAUCUUAGGCCUGUUCAUGCUGAUCAUGCUCAGCCACCUUUCCAAUAGAUGCUGAACUCUGUAUUUAGUGCCUAUGAAAA